This 535-nucleotide ribosomal RNA is filed under the name uncultured bacterium. RNAcentral describes it as "partial 16S ribosomal RNA". It matches the Rfam family "Bacterial small subunit ribosomal RNA", at positions 355 to 895 of the family's 1533-position model. The record is from RNAcentral.
UGGGGAAUAUUGCACAAUGGGCGCAAGCCUGAUGCAGCAACGCCGCGUGAGGGACGACGGCCUUCGGGUUGUAAACCUCUUUUAGUAGGGAAGAAGCGAAAGUGACGGUACCUGCAGAAAAAACGCACCGGCUAACUACGUGCCAGCAGCCGCGGUAAUACGUAGGGUGCGAGCGUUGUCCGGAAUUAUUGGGCGUAAAGAGCUCGUAGGCGGUCUGUCGCGUCUGCUGUGAAAACCCGAGGCUCAACCUCGGGCCUGCAGUGGGUACGGGCAGACUAGAGUGCGGUAGGGGAGAAUGGAAUUCCUGGUGUAGCGGUGGAAUGCGCAGAUAUCAGGAGGAACACCGAUGGCGAAGGCAGUUCUCUGGGCCGUAACUGACGCUGAGGAGCGAAAGCGUGGGGAGCGAAACAGGAUUAGAUACCCUGGUAGUCCACGCCGUAAAACGUUGGGCGCUAGAUGUGGGGACCAUUCCACGGUUUCCGUGUCGCAGCUAACGCAUUAAGCGCCCCAGCCUGGGGAGUACGGCCGCAAGGCU